AGAUUAAGUUAUUAAGGGCGCACGGUGGAUGCCUUGGCACUAGAAGCCGACGAAGGACGUUACUAACGACGAUAUGCUUUGGGUAGCUGUAAGUAAGCGUUGAUCCAGAGAUUUCCGAAUGGGGGAACCCAGCACGAGUUAUGUCGUGUUAUCGACAAGUGAAUUCAUAGCUUGUCAGAAGGCAGACCCGGAGAACUGAAACAUCUUAGUACCCGGAGGAAGAGAAAGAAAAAUCGAUUCCCUGAGUAGCGGCGAGCGAAACGGGAAGAGCCCAAACCAAUAAGCUUGCUUAUUGGGGUUGUAGGACACUCUAUACGGAGUUACAAAGGAAUAUAUUAGACGAAUCAUCUGGAAAGUUGAAUCAAAGAAGGUAAUAAUCCUGUAGUUGAAAAUAUAUUCUCUCUUGAGUGGAUCCUGAGUACGACGGAGCACGUGAAAUUCCGUCGGAAUCUGGGAGGACCAUCUCCUAAGGCUAAAUACUCUCUAGUGACCGAUAGUGAACCAGUACCGUGAGGGAAAGGUGAAAAGUACCCCGGAAGGGGAGUGAAAGAGAACUUGAAACCGUGUGCUUACAAGUAGUCAGAGCCCGUUAAUGGGUGAUGGCGUGCCUUUUGUAGAAUGAACCGGCGAGUUACGAUCUGAUGCAAGGUUAAGCAGGAAAUGUGGAGCCGUAGCGAAAGCGAGUCUGAAUAGGGCGUUGAGUAUUUGGUCGUAGACCCGAAACCAGGUGAUCUACCCAUGGUCAGGUUGAAGUUCAGGUAACACUGAAUGGAGGACCGAACCGACUUACGUUGAAAAGUGAGCGGAUGAACUGUGGGUAGCGGAGAAAUUCCAAUCGAACUUGGAGAUAGCUGGUUCUCUCCGAAAUAGCUUUAGGGCUAGCCUCAAGUGAUGAUUAUUGGAGGUAGAGCACUGUUUGGACGAGGGGCCCCUCUCGGGUUACCGAAUUCAGACAAACUCCGAAUGCCAAUUAAUUUAACUUGGGAGUCAGAACAUGGGUGAUAAGGUCCGUGUUCGAAAGGGAAACAGCCCAGACCACCAGCUAAGGUCCCAAAAUAUAUGUUAAGUGGAAAAGGAUGUGGCGUUGCCCAGACAACUAGGAUGUUGGCUUAGAAGCAGCCAUCAUUUAAAGAGUGCGUAAUAGCUCACUAGUCGAGUGACACUGCGCCGAAAAUGUACCGGGGCUAAACAUAUUACCGAAGCUGUGGAUUGUCCGUAGGACAAUGGUAGGAGAGCGUUCUAAGGGCGUUGAAGCAUGAUUGCAAGGACAUGUGGAGCGCUUAGAAGUGAGAAUGCCGGUGUGAGUAGCGAAAGACGGGUGAGAAUCCCGUCCACCGAUUGACUAAGGUUUCCAGAGGAAGGCUCGUCCGCUCUGGGUUAGUCGGGUCCUAAGCUGAGGCCGACAGGCGUAGGCGAUGGAUAACAGGUUGAUAUUCCUGUACCACCUAGCAUCGUUUUAAUCGAUGGGGGG
Molecule: ribosomal RNA, 1471 nt
Filed under: Staphylococcus sp. HMSC074C02
Lineage: Bacteria; Bacillati; Bacillota; Bacilli; Caryophanales; Staphylococcaceae
Description: bacterial LSU rRNA
Rfam family: Bacterial large subunit ribosomal RNA
Source: RNAcentral